RNAcentral lists this ribosomal RNA (496 nucleotides) under uncultured bacterium. Its description in RNAcentral is "partial 16S ribosomal RNA". It matches the Rfam family "Bacterial small subunit ribosomal RNA", at positions 29 to 507 of the family's 1533-position model. The record is from RNAcentral.
AUGAACGCUGGCGGCGUGCCUAAUACAUGGCAGUCGCGCGAACGGACGAGAAGCUUGCUUCUCUGAUGUUAGCGGCGGACGGGUGAGUAACACGUGGAUAACCUACCUAUAAGACUGGGAUAACUUCGGGAAACCGGAGCUAAUACCGGAUAAUAUUUUGAACCGCAUGGUUCAAAAGUGAAAGACGGUCUUGCUGUCACUUAUAGAUGGAUCCGCGCUGCAUUAGCUAGUUGGUAAGGUAACGGCUUACCAAGGCAACGAUGCAUAGCCGACCUGAGAGGGUGAUCGGCCACACUGGAACUGAGACACGGUCCAGACUCCUACGGGAGGCAGCAGUAGGGAAUCUUCCGCAAUGGGCGAAAGCCUGACGGAGCAACGCCGCGUGAGUGAUGAAGGUCUUCGGAUCGUAAAACUCUGUUAUUAGGGAAGAACAUAUGUGUAAGUAACUGUGCACAUCUUGACGGUACCUAAUCAGAAAGCCACGGCUAACUACGUG